AACGAACGCUGGCGGCAUGCCUAACACAUGCCAGUCGAACGAGACCUUCGGGUCUAGUGGCGCACGGGUGCGUAACGCGUGGGAACCUGCCCUUAGGUUCGGAAUAACUCCCCGAAAGGGGUGCUAAUACCGGAUAAUGUCUUCGGACCAAAGAUUUAUCGCCUUUGGAUGGGCCCGCGUUGGAUUAGCUAGUUGGUAGGGUAAAAGCCUACCAAGGCGACGAUCCAUAGCUGGUCUGAGAGGAUGAUCAGCCACACUGGGACUGAGACACGGCCCAGACUCCUACGGGAGGCAGCAGUGGGGAAUAUUGGACAAUGGGCGAAAGCCUGAUCCAGCAAUGCCGCGUGAGUGAUGAAGGCCUUAGGGUUGUAAAGCUCUUUUACCCGGGAUGAUAAUGGCAGUACCGGGAGAAUAAGCUCCGGCUAACUCCGU
RNAcentral lists this ribosomal RNA (432 nucleotides) under uncultured bacterium. Its description in RNAcentral is "partial 16S ribosomal RNA". It matches the Rfam family "Bacterial small subunit ribosomal RNA", at positions 29 to 506 of the family's 1533-position model. The record is from RNAcentral.